ACCACUGAGCCAUCUCUCCAGCCCUCUCAUUUUUGUUUUUUAAAGCAAUUUUUGGGGCUGGAGGGAUGGCUCGGUGGU
Molecule: microRNA precursor, 78 nt
Filed under: Neotoma lepida (desert woodrat)
Lineage: Eukaryota; Metazoa; Chordata; Mammalia; Rodentia; Cricetidae
Description: mir-3473 microRNA precursor family
Rfam family: mir-3473 microRNA precursor family
Source: Rfam by way of RNAcentral